This is a small nucleolar RNA of Trichechus manatus latirostris (Florida manatee), 211 nucleotides long. RefSeq annotates it as small nucleolar RNA SNORA73 family. The record is from RefSeq and is a predicted model, not a curated record. Lineage: Eukaryota; Metazoa; Chordata; Mammalia; Sirenia; Trichechidae. The transcript has a single exon.
UCAAUGUGGACAACCACUGGGGUCACUCAGUGGCUCUGUCCAUGUGGUGUAAAGGAGCACAGCGCUUCGGUGCAGUGGUGUAUAGUCCUGUCCCACGACAUUGGAGAUCAAGCUUGUCCCCAGUCUUCGUACUGGUGAGGGCAUGGUCCUGUAUAUUCCUUAUCUUCUCGGUACCUAGUUGUUGAGGAGAAAAACCAUACAGGGCACAAUU